GGCAUUUGGAGGCCCAACCUCCAACCCCACAGGCAAUGUCAUCAAAAUUGUAUUUAUUACAGUAGUGUACAUAUGUAUGUACCACGCCCUAGUAAAAUAUGCACAAUUUAAAUGUUUUUGCAUGAGCCAAGAACUUGUGAGCAUCUUUAUUCAUCUAGAGUCAGUCAAUUAUGUGUCAGCCAAUUAUGUGUUCAAAUGGUACUGGAAGUUCACACAACAGGUAAUGCUAUCACAGUUGUGUUUAUUACAGUAGUGCACAUAUGUAUGUACCACACCCAAGUAAAAUAGCCACUAUUAAGUGUUUUUGCAUGAGCCAUGAACUUGUGAGCAUCUGCACUCGUCUAGAGUCAGUCAAUUAUUUAUGUGUCAGCCAAUUAUGUGUUCAAAUGGUACUGGAAGUUCACACAACAGGUAAUGCUAUCACAGUUGUGUUUAUUACAGUAGUGCACAUAUGUAUGUACCACACCUAAGUAAAAU
This is a long non-coding RNA of Carassius gibelio (silver crucian carp), 477 nucleotides long. RefSeq lists it as uncharacterized. NCBI's taxonomy places the organism in Eukaryota, Metazoa, Chordata, Actinopteri, Cypriniformes, Cyprinidae. The transcript is spliced from 3 exons. The record is from RefSeq and is a predicted model, not a curated record.